Molecule: long non-coding RNA, 2185 nt
Organism: Apis cerana (Asiatic honeybee)
Lineage: Eukaryota; Metazoa; Arthropoda; Insecta; Hymenoptera; Apidae
Source: RefSeq, a predicted model, not a curated record
GCAGUUUCGUCCUUUGGCCGAGGUCACGUGCAAUGAAGCCGUCAAGAAAAUCGCCUGUCGAGACAUUUCGCGUGAAUAUGAUGAUUGGAUAUUAAGAAUGGAAUGCGUUGAAUGCAUUGUUCCGUUUUCGGACAAUAUUUAUUACCCGUUGCAUCGCACUCUCCCUAAUAUUGAUUCAAUUAUAGGUUGGAAAAACUUGAGAAGAAAGAUCUGCGAGAUCCAACUGACCAUUUUGUAGGAAAAUUCGCCGUAAAACAAUGUGGCGUUCGUUCAACGAUAAUCGUAAAGCGAGCGUUCGUUCGUUUCGCAAUGAAACGUGAAGACGACGAUGGUUACGGUGUUCCUUACGGUCUCGCGUACCAGCGUGGCCGUGGUACGCGUACGAGUCGCGUCCCGUUGAUAUCGCGCCAACACGCACCACUGAUAAUAUCUUUAAUUACCGCCACCUGGACGAGGAGGGGUCUCUGACUCGACCAACGACAACACCGUGUCGGGAUCGAAGUUUGACGAGUCGAUUCGACGACAGUCGAAUCGCGACUUAAUGAUGGCGGAUAACGUAAUUUUAGAAGGAUGGAAUCAACGCAAAUAUGACUCCAUCACGCCACAUUUCCAAGAUCCAAAGGGUAGAAGACUUGCAGGCGUCCAAAGUUCCGGUUUCGUCUAGGAAACGAGCAUUUCCUCUCGUGGAAGCCUCGCGUGGUCUCGCGAUUCUCCACUCGUUCAACGUCCGAAAGACACGCCCGGUAUUGCUUUCAAUUAGCAGCACCUGGAGAUCGGUAUCCGGUACCAUCGCGGCCAACGACAGAGGUGAGCUCGCCGCGCAAAAGUUCGCCGAUAAAGCGAGCCGCGAUCCUUCGCGGGAACUUAAUAAUGGUAAUUACAAGGAAGCCAUGAAAAUUUAUGAUGUUAUUCGGUUGAAUGUGCGCGCGCGCGCCCCCUCGAACCGUAUGGAAAUGGAAGGUAGUAAAAAACUUGAAAACUUUUUCCAUCUUCCCGUGUCUUUUCUUCGAGCACUCGUCGAGUAUAUAUUCCAGCCAUAAGUUAACGAACGAAUUAUUACGAUUAUGAUAAUAACGUGAUGAUGAUGAUGAUGAUGAUGAUGAUGAUGAUGAUUGAGCGGUUUUUCGAAAAUGAAAAAUAUGUCAAAUGGAUAUUAUACAAAUUUAUGAAAUAGUUAUAUUGGGAAAAAAAUGAAGUAAUGAAUUUAAAAUUAACAGGCGAUUUAUAGAACGAGGCACAGUGAAUUGAUUCGAAUUAUUUCGGCAUCUUGCCUUUUAGCAUGCGUGCUUGAGGAAGAGGACGUUGUUUUGUUGUUUCGUUAUGUCUCUUAAUUUGUGUGGAAUACCUGUAUCCGCAUGUAUGCGAUGCAAUUAGUGGUCAACAUCUUGCGAUAUUGCUAAGUAUCGGCGCCAAUAUUGCUCGCGACCAGAAAUUGGAAUUGCGUUUGAUGUUCCGACGAUGGAUUCCCGGCAAAUGGACAACUCGUGUUCGCAAAUUUUAUAGUGCCGUUUUUGAAAAUAAGAAUUCGGUAUUUUGGAUAUCGGUAGUUGUUUUUUUUUUUUCAAAGAAAUUACUUUAAAAGUAUCAUUAAUUUGUCAUAAUUAUAAAUAUUACGCAUUAUUGUGAAUUAAAGUUAUUCAAAUAAUAGUAAUAGUAUGUUUAUGCAAGAGAAAGAUCAAUGAUUGGAAAAACGAUCGAAAUAAUUUCUAUGCAAAUAUUCUUAAUCGACGCGUUCGCUCUGGCGUAAGUUUCCUUUUUUCUCUUUCUCUUUCCUCGUCAUUAUCUCGAUUCAUUAUUCAGCACUACGAUAAUAAUAUGUGACUCACGACAGAGAGGAAAAAAAAACAAGUUUGAUUUGUUUUUGUGGAUCAUUGCGGAGACCUUGCGUAGAAUGCUUACGAGUCACGAAUUCCGCUCUUAAUUUCACUAUCUUGUCACGAGAUUUCUACCUCAUUAUUUAUCUAAUUUAAUCUCUUUAACUGUAGCAUUACAUUUAAUUACUUAGAUCUAUUGUCUUCAAUAAUAAAUGCGAAAGUGUGUUGCAAAUGCAACAGUACACGAAUCUAAAUCAAUUAAUAAAAGAAAACAUAUAUCAAAGCUACUAUUUAAACGAACGUAAUUAAUGUUCUGACUAAAUGGAUCGAAACUUGGAUAGUAGAAAAUAAACUCUGUAUUUAUUCCUAUA